This is a long non-coding RNA of Thunnus maccoyii (southern bluefin tuna), 1431 nucleotides long. RefSeq lists it as uncharacterized. NCBI's taxonomy places the organism in Eukaryota, Metazoa, Chordata, Actinopteri, Scombriformes, Scombridae. The transcript is spliced from 4 exons. The record is from RefSeq and is a predicted model, not a curated record.
GCAUCUGUAUAUCAGCAGCACAGAUACAGGUGUAAAACAGCUGCUACUGCAAUUCCUCUCCUUGCCUAUUGGUGGCGCCAUGUCUAGAAGAGCAGGUCAGAACUGGCGCUGUGGCUCUGUAGUUGGGUGAUAUUGGCGCCUACCAGCCGCACAGGUGUGUGAAGAUGGAUUCAAACGUAACCGCGGCGCUGGGUUGGUGAAAGUGGCUUCCGUCCAUACUUUGGAUGAUGGACUUCAAAAACAUCCGGAUCUAAAGAGACGAACUCUAUCACUUGUGAUGUCACUGUCACCUAGCAACAGAAAGUGGGAUUAAACACCGAUACUGUCUACUAACGGGGCCCUGGGGACACAUCCUCACAGGUCUGUGUCCGUGAUCAUCUUCUGUUAGAGCUGACAGUGCAACAUCACCUACUGUAGGCUAUAAUAUUCUCUCCUCUAAUAUCACUGUCUGUCACAGGACCGCCUCUCAUAUUAGUCAUGGAACGAUUUGCUAUGGAAAGAUGUUUUUUACCAUCUAACUUCAUGUCAAAGCAUUCCCUCUUUAUUUCUGUCACAGUACAGUUCUGCUCUGAUAACAUGUCGAUGUAUCAAUAUUUACUCAUUGUUUCGGGUCCCCUACUACUGACACUCAUGAACUUAUUAUGUUUUUGUCUGCUGAUUUCUGAUAACAGGACUUGAAGAUCUGUGGUGUGAAAUUCUUAUUUUUACUCUUUUCCAUAAUGAAGGAUCAAGUAAAGGCGGGUGAGAGGCUUCAGGUUUCAGUGAUAAGUGAGACUGAAAUACCCCCUUUCAAACAAAACGUUAACAAAAUGGCAAUUCAGUCAGAGCAUCAUGUUCUAUUGCUUGUGCUUAAAAAGCCUUUUUGGCUUAGCCAGUGGGGCUGGACCUCAGAAUGGAAAACAAAUUGUGACCUCAAAGUCUGGUUGGUGUAAAUAGUAUUGGUCAUUGAGAGGUAAUUUUAGAAGGUAAUCAAUUUAAAUGAUUUCUUCAGCAGCACUGAUGAAGUUUAGAUUAGUACCUAACAUUUGAGCAGAGAUCUAAUUUAUAGUAUGUAUUCACCAGGAAUGGAAUAUGAGCAGGUAGUUGUGUUAUAGUGCUAACAAAAAUAAGUCUAUAUUCAUAUAUUGAUACCCCACCUUUUGAAGUUUGCCUUCUAAAAUUUGGAUUCUUUCAUUAAUGUGUUAAAUUUGUCCUCUGGCUCAGUGUUUCAUCUCAUAGGUCAUUUUCCUGUCCCUGUUGGCUAAUCUGUCACUGGCUGUGAUCCCAUCUCCACUCUCAAUCACAGACGUGCCCUCAAGUCUCAUUUCAGUCUGCGGGCCUCCCCUCAGAGGGCUUCCAGGCAAUAAGGACUUUCUGGAACUUCUGCCUAGUGAAGGCAUAGAGCAGAGGGUGAAAGAUAGUGGUCCCAUAUGCCAUGACCAGAAAGCCCAG